RNAcentral lists this ribosomal RNA (661 nucleotides) under Acanthogammarus victorii. RNAcentral describes it as "bacterial SSU rRNA". It matches the Rfam family "Eukaryotic small subunit ribosomal RNA", at positions 4 to 578 of the family's 1831-position model. The record is from RNAcentral. Lineage: Eukaryota; Metazoa; Arthropoda; Malacostraca; Amphipoda; Acanthogammaridae.
CUGGUUGAUCCUGCCAGUAGUCAUAUGCUUGUCUCAAAGAUUAAGCCAUGCAUGUCUAAGUCCAAGCUGUGUUCACACGGCGAGACCGCGGACGGCUCAUUAAAUCAGUCGUGGUCCAAAUGGGCCAGUGCAAAUCCUACUUGGAUAACUGUGGUAAUUCCAGAGCUAAUACAUGCAACUGAUAUCCCGAAGGCGGUGUUUGUGCUUGCUUGUCUUGCGCUUUCACUGCUCUGACGGAUGCUUUUAUUAGACCAAGCCGCUGAGGACUUGAGGGUUCGCGCUCUCUUGUUUGACUCGUGUGAUGGUGACUCUGGAUAACCAAAAUUUCUGACAAGCGCACGUACUUCUCUUCUGAGCGAGACGGCGCUGCCACUUUCGAGUGUCUGCCUUAUCAGCUAUCAACCGUUCGUUAUGCGCGACCGAUGGCUUUGACGGGUAACGGGGAAUCAGGGUUCGAUUCCGGAGAGGCAGCCUGAGAGACGGCUACCACGUCCAAGGACGGCAGCAGGCACGCAAAUUACCCAAUCCCAGCAAAUGGGGGAGGUAGUGACGAAAUCUAACGAUGCGGGCGCCCUUUCUGGGGCCCCGCAAUCGGAAUGGGCACUUUCUAAACAACCUGUUGAGAACCUACUGAAGGGCAAGUCUGGUGCCAGCAGCCGCG